Molecule: ribosomal RNA, 834 nt
Filed under: Flavobacteriaceae bacterium ACEMC 12-9
Lineage: Bacteria; Pseudomonadati; Bacteroidota; Flavobacteriia; Flavobacteriales; Flavobacteriaceae
Description: bacterial SSU rRNA
Rfam family: Bacterial small subunit ribosomal RNA
Source: RNAcentral
CAGGCUUAACACAUGCAAGUCGAGGGGUAACAGAGGUAGCUUGCUACUUGCUGACGACCGGCGCACGGGUGCGUAACGCGUAUAGAAUCUACCUUAUACUGGGGGAUAGCCUUUGGAAACGAAGAUUAAUACCCCAUAGUAUGUUUGAAUGGCAUCAUUUGGACAUUAAAGUUUCGGCGGUAUAAGAUGACUAUGCGUUCUAUUAGUUUGUUGGUAAGGUAACGGCUUACCAAGACUACGAUAGAUAGGGGUCCUGAGAGGGAGAUCCCCCACACUGGUACUGAGACACGGACCAGACUCCUACGGGAGGCAGCAGUGAGGAAUAUUGGACAAUGGAGGCAACUCUGAUCCAGCCAUGCCGCGUGUAGGAAGACUGCCCUAUGGGUUGUAAACUACUUUUAUAUGGGAAGAAUAAGGUCUACGUGUAGACUGAUGACGGUACCAUAAGAAUAAGCACCGGCUAACUCCGUGCCAGCAGCCGCGGUAAUACGGAGGGUGCAAGCGUUAUCCGGAAUCAUUGGGUUUAAAGGGUCCGUAGGCGGGCAUAUAAGUCAGUGGUGAAAGUCUGUGGCUUAACCAUAGAAUUGCCAUUGAUACUGUAUGUCUUGAAUUAUUGUGAAGUGGUUAGAAUAUGUAGUGUAGCGGUGAAAUGCUUAGAGAUUACAUAGAAUACCGAUUGCGAAGGCAGAUCACUAACAAUAUAUUGACGCUGAUGGACGAAAGCGUAGGUAGCGAACAGGAUUAGAUACCCUGGUAGUCUACGCCGUAAACGAUGGAUACUAGUUGUUUGGCUUUCGGGCUGAGUGACUAAGCGAAAGUGAUAAGUAUCCCACC